GACGAACGCUGGCGGCGUGCUUAACACAUGCAAGUCGAACGGAAAGGCCCUGCUUUUGUGGGGUGCUCGAGUGGCGAACGGGUGAGUAACACGUGAGUAACCUGCCCUUGACUUUGGGAUAACUUCAGGAAACUGGGGCUAAUACCGGAUAGGAGCUCCUGCUGCAUGGUGGGGGUUGGAAAGUUUCGGCGGUUGGGGAUGGACUCGCGGCUUAUCAGCUUGUUGGUGGGGUAGUGGCUUACCAAGGCUUUGACGGGUAGCCGGCCUGGGAGGGUGACCGGGCCCAGUGGGGAAGGGGAGGCGGCCGGGGCGCUUAGGGGGGGAGGGGGGGGGGAUUUUGGGAGAAGGGCCGGGGGAGGGAUGAAGGACGGCGGCGGGGGGAAGGCCGGCUUUGGGGUAGAAAACCGGUUUCGCUUGUGACGAAGGGUGGGUGGGGAUAAGGGGAAAAAGAGCCCGGGAAACCUGCG
This 467-nucleotide ribosomal RNA is filed under the name uncultured bacterium. Its description in RNAcentral is "partial 16S ribosomal RNA". The stretch from base 20 to 333 matches the Rfam family "Bacterial small subunit ribosomal RNA", at positions 47 to 358 of the family's 1533-position model. The record is from RNAcentral.